This is an RNA transcript of Panicum hallii, 1360 nucleotides long. RefSeq lists it as uncharacterized. The record is from RefSeq and is a predicted model, not a curated record. The transcript is spliced from 4 exons. NCBI's taxonomy places the organism in Eukaryota, Viridiplantae, Streptophyta, Magnoliopsida, Poales, Poaceae.
GCACGGUGUAGCCUUCACACGCGGGCCGGCCUUAGGAGUACUCUCUACAGCAACCGGCAGCCACAUCCGGAUCAAAAAGUCCCGAAACGCGCGUGCUCGGCUCGUUUUCCUCCGUUCCUCGUGUCACGCAAGCUACACCCGAGCAGAGCUCCGCCGCCGUCUGCUGCAUGUGCGGCGACCACGGCCUGCCGCACGAGCUGUUCCGGUGCAACCUCUGCAGCCUCCGGCUGCAGCACAGGUACUGCAGGUCUGCAGCGACCUGUACCCGAGGGUGCCGGGGCCGUACUGGAGAUGCAACUGGUGCCUCAGCGAGGGCGGCGGCGGGAGGAGCGAAGCGGAGGCCGAACGGUUCUCGGGACGAUGACGACCCGAUCAGGAGGAGAGGCCGUGGGGCGGCGGUGGAUGCACCAGGUCAGCCUUCUCGGCGGAUCCUGGAAAGCCGGUCAAGAAGCCCCAGAGGGGCCGCGCGAGGGCGGCGCAGCGGCGGGCGGCAACGACGGCGCCGAAGAAAAGAAGGGAGGUGCAGCAGGCCGGCGGCGGCGGCAAGGCGCGGUUCAGGGCGAAGGUGCGCCGGUACAAGCUCCUCGCGGAGGUGAUCUGCUAGUGAACAGGGAAGAGAUCGGCUGCAGUACUGCAGCCUGCGGUGCGCACGUCCAUCUUAAAUCCAACGAUUCUCCUAUUUUCUCCAUCCACGUUGUGUACAUACGGGCCCAAGAUAAGGCCCAGCUUCUUUCCUUUCGUCUCUUGGGAGCUGGGAUCGUUGUUCCCCUUUCUCUCUGUCCUUGCAGCUUCAGGCAAAUCGACGCCGCCGCCGCCGCCGCCGAAUCACGUCCGCGCGAUGCUGCUGUCAAAAUGGAGCCGAAGCUCGACCCCAAGGCUGGCAAGCUCGCUGCAGAGUCCGGGGGCUCUCCGCUUAUCACACCUCGCCGGGGCGCCUGGCCCUCUCGCGGUCGCUGCGAGUCUGGACGGAACUACAUCAAGCUAUCAAGGAACAAAAUACAGGGGUCAACAACAAAAUAGCUCUCCCGAUUUGCUCAAGAACUAAAAGAAUCUCUCAAAUUUCAGAUCAUCACUGCUUGCCCCGUUCAAUAGUUGAGUGAAGGAGCUGAUGGUCCAAUAUUCUUCAGAGUCCCUGUGUUUGUCACUGCUUGCUUCUUUCCCAAUAUCUUGUGCCUUGCGAGAAUAGAAAGUCGAAAGAGAGAGCAUCAGCGCACGAAAAUGUAUAAUAAUGAUGUAAUGCACUUGUUAAAGAAAUUUGACAUACCAUUGGUAUUUGUACAGAUACAAGAGUUUUUCUUUGUCCUUUUUUCCUCCCUUUGUACUUUUCUUCCCAACCAAGUUUUUGUCUCUUUGAACUUCU